Molecule: long non-coding RNA, 1877 nt
Organism: Fukomys damarensis (Damara mole-rat)
Lineage: Eukaryota; Metazoa; Chordata; Mammalia; Rodentia; Bathyergidae
Source: Ensembl
GGUCUUUGCUCUUACGAGGUGGGGGGCAGAACCAUGGAGCUAAAUCCCUGGCCCCUGACCCCAGCACUCUCUAAUUCUUGAUUUCCAUCAGCUAGCCCUGAGCUUUUACAGUGGGAGGUUUGAUUUCAGUAGGAAAAUGUUUAUAACAGGGCUUGUGGAUUCUUGCUUCUUUCUAAGUCCGUAAUGUUUUUAUGCAGGAAGUCAAGAAAAGACUCUUUUAGAGCCAACCUGCAAUUUCCCGUGUUUCUCUUCCCAGCAACCAAAAGACCCCAGACUACUAUACUUGGAGUCCCAUCCAAACUUUUGGGAAGCAAAAAUGUAAGAAGCAGGAGGAGGACCCAAUAUCAGGAGGAGGCUUCCUUGCCUUGAGUUGUUGCAGUAACAGGACACGGACAAGUUUCUUCUCUGACAACUUUUUCUACUGUCACAGACAUUUGUGCUGGUCACAGAUGGGCAUGAUGAGAAACUGGAGGUGAAAAUGGAUAGAUACUCUGUGGGCUGCAGAUGGUGAUGGAAGAAACUAGAAUUCUCACUUGUGAGAGACGUUGUCCAUGGAGCAUGGAAUCUCUCAGGUCUUUAUCGAGCCCUACAUGCCUUCAGGAGUCACAGGAUGAAACGAGGGUCCCGUCCUUUCCUUCUGACAGCAUUGGUUCUUCUUCCUUCCCGUCUUCACUGCUCCUGAGAAAACAUGGAUUUGGGGUGGAGAGUUUCAGGGAUACUCCGAUUCCUUCGUACUAUCAUUGCCAUCAGGGAAAACUGGAACAUGUGCAGAAUCCUGCCACACGGGGUCGCUGUUGAAGAAUUCUUGCCACUGGCGGCCAUCUUUCCUGCGCAAUACUAGGUGAUUUUUAGGAGCUAGAUUUUGGGAAGCACCUCUGUGGAAUAUAGCAAUUUGGAAGCAGCUGUUAUAUCCCACUUCAGCGUUCUGGAUAGAACACUUCUGUCUAAGCACUUCUUGUGAUGGAAACGAGGCUGCAGGUCAUUGUGGGUGCAGGAGGGCUCCUUUCCCUGUGCUCUCUACCCAUGGCUGAGGCUCAGUCCUGUUCCCCUGUUUAUUUAGUCUGAUCUUUGAGUUGACACACCCAGAAGCUUCUUUGAUAAAUGGCUUCUCUGCAUGUGGAUAGCUACCAUCAUGCUCAAGUCACGAACACUCCGGUUCCUGGCUGUACUGACUGCAGAUGCCCUCCUCAAAAUGGCCCUCAUAGGAGGCCAGCUCUGAUGAAAGAGAAAACUGACACCUCUUGCUCAGAUGAGUUUCUUGGACCUGGAUGUUUCUGUGCACACAGGUGUGGCUUGGGCUAGAAUUAGGGAGCAGUCAGUGUUGAGGGAAUAUUAGAACUGACAUUCGCUGUCCACUUUUGCCCAUCUCUUGCGCCAGGUCUCAGUUCAUUAAGCACCCUGGAGGGUUCUACCACAAGGACGAGGAAUGUAGAGAUGCUCAAGAUUAAUCAUUUAAUCCAGAUCGUGGUACUGGGAUUGGACUCAGAGUCUUUGCCCUGAGCUGUAUACCUAGCCCUUUAUUUUUUAUUUUGAGACAAAGUCUUAUUAAGUCACUAGAUUGUCCAGUCUGGGCUCAAAUUUGCGGUACUUCUGCCCCAGCCUCCCAGGGCGCUGGGAUUGCAGGCUCCCAGAGUGCUGCUUCAGGCUGUAUGUUUUUCUUUGACACUUCUCUAUUGUCUGAAUGCAAUUUACACUUAUGUGCUUUGUAAUGGUUCUUCAGGCAGUGAUUGGCUGCAUAUAAGCCGGUGGUCCCAUAGAUUAUAAUAAAGCUAGAAGAUCCCUGCCAUCUGGUGACAUAACAGACAUCAUCAUGUCCUAAUUCAGAGCAUUAGUCCAGAUUUGUAGUAAUGCUGAAGUAAAAAAGCCUACUGUGCCAC